AGAUGUAUGAAAACUCAUUUUCCAAGUUAACACUGAGUUCCAAAAGGUUUAUAUCAAAGUACUCCUUUUGUUGAAUCUUCCUCUGUAUGUCAAAUUACCUGUUUACAAUCCUCCGGGGGUCCCCUCUUGCCUUCAUGACAAAAAACAAAUUGCUUAGCUUGGUCUACAGAGAACUUACAAGCCAGCCCCUACCCAGCCCCGCCUCCCUACCGCAUACACCAUGCUCCACACCCACAGUGCACAUUGCCCACUUUGUGUUAUGCAUAUGCUGGGUCCUUUCCCUGGAAUAUAAUACUUUUUCCCUCCUUUGCCUGGUAGACCUCUCUCCUUGAAGACAAAGUGUUGAUAUCAACUCCACCUUCAAGUCUCUCAAGCAGAACUAGAUGCUGUUUCUUCAAUGUUUCCACAUCUUCUUGUUCACAUGUGUCUAAGCCUGCUUUGACAGCCCUGUUCAGACUCCAUUAAUCAUAGAAUGUGAUGACUUCCCUACUUUUCGAUUUUUAAGAUGCUUCAAGGGAAAUCUGUCUCCCCAGACACUUGCGUACUACAUUGUAAGCCAUUUUUACUAUGAAGAAGAUUGUAAGCUCAAUUACGGGCUUUACUGCGCUGAUAACGAACACAGAUAUGAGACAAGCAGACUUGAGCUCCUGCCUCGAGGAUGGUGAGCAAAGAGCCUAAGCAAAACUGAGAGGAAAUGAAACACAAAGAGGAAACAGAAAGCAACAAUAGGAAAUGGAUCCAUCCGGCUCACCCCUUCCUCCUGUACUUCAAUCUUGCCACUAGCUGAACCCAACAGGAAGCUAAGUGGCAGAGAAGUGAGGGAAAUACAGCCUGCAAAGAAGGACAAGGGAAGGACCUGGGGGCAAACAUGCCCCCAUGUAUAUAAUGAAAACAAGGCUUAUUCUCUUCUGAUUCAUUCAAAUUCCGUUGCUUAAUCAUGGGAAUCAUGGAAUGGCAUUUGGUCAAGGAGUAAUUUUCAUGAGAUGGUUUGGUAAUUUUCUGGACUUCAUUUUAUUUUUCAUUAUUUUAUGAGCAUGUAAAUCAAAACAGAUGAUAUCACCUCAUCUUUCUCAAUGGCAUCAGUAACAGAACAAAAUCAAAUGAAAGUGCUCCAUAAAAAUGAGCACUGCCCAAGUUAUAGUGUGUGCGGGCUGCUGCCCACUACUCCCUUCUCUGAGUCAUUCCCCGAUGUGACUUGGCAGCCCAGCUCCAUCAGCUCUGUGGUUGAAAAAAAAUGGGUCAUUGCACUGCGACAAAAGGACAUUCAUUGAAAAUACAGCAAUUAAGAAAAAUUUGAGCUCCAAUAGUCUCAAAUGACCAAAGGAAGCUUGUACUUGCAGCGUGUGGGUGCCAGCAGCAGGCAGACCAACAAAGCAGCAGGAGUUCCACCAGCAGCCACCAGGGACACGUCUAAGAAUUCUAUCAAACAGAAGGAAGUGGCUGAACUCCACUGAUGCAGGGGACAGGAGGCCUUGGAAAAGGCUGUUUUCAGCAUUACUAGCAUUUAAUUGAAACAUUCUGGAACCUGUAGUCCCAGGACCUAAAAAUAGGGCAUCACAACAAAAGACUCAACAAUAACGUUUUUCCUUAUGAAAUUUUAUUUUUGCUUAAAUAUAGGGGAAUAUAUAGGACACUGUAAAGGCAAAGUCUCACUGGUUUCUCUCUCUCUCACACACACACACAGAAUUGGAAGAGUUCAUAAAUAAAACAAAUUAGCAAAAAUGUUGAUGGUUGUUGAAGCUGGAUGAUGGGUACAUGAGUGUUCAUUGUAUUAAUCUCUCCUACCUUUUGUUUUAAAAUUUUUAUUAAAAAGGGAAAAUGUAAAUGUUGAUUUCAUUGGAUACAUGUUUUCCCUAGUUAGUCUUCCUUUACACUGUUCAUUUCAUUGUCACUAGGCUUCACCAUGUCUCUGUGUCGUGGGACCCAGCAGCAUGCAGAUAUUGCCAAGUGUGCUCUGAUUCUGUCUGUACUUAUGUGGAAAGCAGAAGCCUGCUCUGGCAGAGGAAGGGCGGUGUCCAGGCAAUAGGCAUAGGAAAUGAGUAGGCAGCAGGCUGAAGAGGGUGAAAAAAAACAGGGCAAGAGCAACCCCUCCACUGAAAUGCACUGGGAAGGGGGACUUAGAUACUAACACAAGUUCAAUUCAAGAAGCAUUUAUUGAACCGUCCUCAUGAGCCAGGUCAGGGUGUUCAGCACUGAGCGUGUCAAGACGAAGACACAUAGCCUCUAAGUGUCCACCAUCUACAAUAGCUAAUGUUUAAUUGUCCUUAAAAGUUGAAGAAUGUUGACUGGAUUGUCUGCAAAUCAGUCAUGUGAGUAGUGUUAAUCUAAUGAAGAAGAAUCUUAAAAGACAAAUUCUCCAAAUGCUGCUGCUCCUGCAUCCUGCUGCUCUACCUGCUGUGGGGAGGAGGCAUUGGGAAUUAGUGUUAAACAAGACACAAAAUGUGUGCUCUCAGGAAGAUCAUAUGCCAGUGCAGAGAGAUGAUAAACACGAAAUCCAAUAAAUACACAGUUUGUGCCAUGAAGAAAAUAAAACAAGCUGAUGAAAUUAUAACUACCAGUGACCACUCCCUGAUAUGCUGCAGAUGCAAUUGAGUAGCAGCUUCAUUCCACAUUUCUCCAACAUCUUUCAUGGUGAGGUCAAGAGCAUAUUCAAAACCAUGUGUGGCUCAGUCCAACUGGAGAGACCAAGUCAAAGAGCCUCAUUUCCAUAAGGCACAGAGUUAAGAAGUGGCAAGUUAACACAGCCAGAGCAUGCACAGAAGAAAACUUCGACCUCAAAUAACACCUAGAACCAAAGUCCCUACCGCAGAACUAAAAGAUUGGGAUGUGGCUGGAACUCAAGCACCUAAACACUUUCAAAAGGCUUUGCCUUCCAGUGUCUACUUGGCCUUCCAGUGUCAGACAGCUUCUUGCACCUGACCCACUCAGCUGAGGACACAGAUGUCAAAAAAAAAAUCAUAAAUACAGAAUUCCAGAAAAUUUUACCAAUAUGUUAUAUUUGCUGUGGUUGCUUUAUAGAUUUUUAAAAAUUAUUGGUCCAGUAACAGGUCUGAAAUUUAACCCUUCUCCUGCUUUUGAAGCAUUUUUUAGGUAAGUAGUUUUCAUGCUUUGAUGUAUAUCAUCAGAAUUACCUGGGUGGUGGAUCUGGAAAUGUGUAUUUUUAAAGUUGGUGUUUUUAUUAAUAGACUUUAUUUUUUAGAACAGUUUUAGACUUACAGAAAAUUAAGGCAAUAAUACAGAAGGUUAUCCACACACACACAUAGAGUUUCCCCUAUUAACAUCUUACAUUAGUAUGGUACCUUUGUUGCAAUUAAGGAACCGAUAUUAAUAUAUUAUUAUUAACAAAAGGCAAUAGUUUACUUCAAUUUCCUUAGAUUUUACCUAAUGCCUUUUUUCUGUUCUAGAAUCCAAUUCAGGAUCCCAUAUUGUGUGUUUAGUUAAUAUGUCUCCUUAUGCUGCUCUUGGCUGUGACCAUUUCUCAGACUUCCCUUGUUUUUGGUGAUCUUGACAGUUUUAAGGAGUACUGUAAUAUUCAAGUGUUUUGUAGAAUUGCCCUAUAUUGGAAUUUGUCUGAUGUAUUAGUCUCGAGUUAUGAGUUUGGGGAAGGAGGAUCACAGAGGUAAAGAACCACUGUCAUCAUAGUCUAUAAAGGGUACAUGUUGUCACAUGACUUAUGGGUGUGGUUGACCUUGAGCAUUUGGCUUCAGUAGUAUUAGACAGAUUUCUACGUCGUAACGUUACUCUUUCAUUUCCCCUUUUCAUAACGUAUUCAUUGGAAGGAAGUCACUAUAUGCAGCCCACACCUAAGGAAUGGGGAGUUAUGCUCCCCCUCCAUUAGGAUGUAAUCUACAUAAUUUGGAGUUUUCCUGCAUAGGAGAUUUAUCUCCUCUCUAUAAUUUAUUGCUUUAUUCAAUAAUUUCUUUAUGUCAGUAUGGACUCAUAGAUAUUUAUUUUAUACUUUGGGUUAUACUCUAAAGUGACUUUAUUUAUGUUGUUUCUCAAAAUAUGCUAGCUUUGGCCAGUGGGAGCUCUUUCAGUUAGCUCAUGUACACUUUUGACGUACCCCAUCUGUGUGUGUGUGUGUGUGUGUCUGUGUGUGUGUGUGUGUGUUGAGUAUUUACUUACCUUCUGGCACUACAAAAUGCUCUACAGUCAUUUCAUGUAGUCACUGCCCCAGUCCUAGAAUCAACCAUUUCUCCAAAUAGCCCUGGCGCCUUUUAUUGAAGAAUAGUAUAAGAAACCAAGAUUUGAGUGCUUGGUGUGCUCCUUACUACUGGAUGUCAUUUCUUUUACACCUUGUCAGCUCACAGAGCAAAGAAAUACAUGUGCAUAUAAGAAGCUGUGUGUGUAAAUAUACAGCUUGGAAACACCUGUAUCUACUUUAAGUUAAACAUGAGUUCUUACCGAUGUCAUCAACUCUACUCCAUUACCACAUGGAUCAUUCUCUCACUUACCUAUCAUCUCCCACUCAAACAGUAAGGAACCUGGCUCCCACCAUCUGCAAAUUCUUUUACAAAAAAUUAAUUGUUCAAUUCCAGCAGACAUGUAUAGCAGUAUCAGAAUUGUUAAUACUUCCAUGAGAAACAACUUUUUAAAAUAAAAUACACUACUUAAUGUGCCUUUAGCCUUAUAC
Long non-coding RNA from Homo sapiens (human), 4633 nucleotides. RefSeq annotates it as long intergenic non-protein coding RNA 2785. The record is from RefSeq and is a predicted model, not a curated record. NCBI's taxonomy places the organism in Eukaryota, Metazoa, Chordata, Mammalia, Primates, Hominidae. The transcript is spliced from 7 exons.